This 2249-nucleotide ribosomal RNA is filed under the name Staphylococcus aureus. RNAcentral describes it as "partial 23S ribosomal RNA". It matches the Rfam family "Bacterial large subunit ribosomal RNA", at positions 513 to 2766 of the family's 2925-position model. Lineage: Bacteria; Bacillati; Bacillota; Bacilli; Caryophanales; Staphylococcaceae. The record is from RNAcentral.
GGUGAAAAGCACCCCGGAAGGGGAGUGAAAUAGAACCUGAAACCGUGUGCUUACAAGUAGUCAGAGCCCGUUAAUGGGUGAUGGCGUGCCUUUUGUAGAAUGAACCGGCGAGUUACGAUUUGAUGCAAGGUUAAGCAGUAAAUGUGGAGCCGUAGCGAAAGCGAGUCUGAAUAGGGCGUUUAGUAUUUGGUCGUAGACCCGAAACCAGGUGAUCUACCCUUGGUCAGGUUGAAGUUCAGGUAACACUGAAUGGAGGACCGAACCGACUUACGUUGAAAAGUGAGCGGAUGAACUGAGGGUAGCGGAGAAAUUCCAAUCGAACCUGGAGAUAGCUGGUUCUCUCCGAAAUAGCUUUAGGGCUAGCCUCAAGUGAUGAUUAUUGGAGGUAGAGCACUGUUUGGACGAGGGGCCCCUCUCGGGUUACCGAAUUCAGACAAACUCCGAAUGCCAAUUAAUUUAACUUGGGAGUCAGAACAUGGGUGAUAAGGUCCGUGUUCGAAAGGGAAACAGCCCAGACCACCAGCUAAGGUCCCAAAAUAUAUGUUAAGUGGAAAAGGAUGUGGCGUUGCCCAGACAACUAGGAUGUUGGCUUAGAAGCAGCCAUCAUUUAAAGAGUGCGUAAUAGCUCACUAGUCGAGUGACACUGCGCCGAAAAUGUACCGGGGCUAAACAUAUUACCGAAGCUGUGGAUUGUCCUUUGGACAAUGGUAGGAGAGCGUUCUAAGGGCGUUGAAGCAUGAUCGUAAGGACAUGUGGAGCGCUUAGAAGUGAGAAUGCCGGUGUGAGUAGCGAAAGACGGGUGAGAAUCCCGUCCACCGAUUGACUAAGGUUUCCAGAGGAAGGCUCGUCCGCUCUGGGUUAGUCGGGUCCUAAGCUGAGGCCGACAGGCGUAGGCGAUGGAUAACAGGUUGAUAUUCCUGUACCACCUAUAAUCGUUUUAAUCGAUGGGGGGACGCAGUAGGAUAGGCGAAGCGUGCGAUUGGAUUGCACGUCUAAGCAGUAAGGCUGAGUAUUAGGCAAAUCCGGUACUCAUUAAGGCUGAGCUGUGAUGGGGAGAAGACAUUGUGUCUUCGAGUCGUUGAUUUCACACUGCCGAGAAAAGCCUCUAGAUAGAAAAUAGGUGCCCGUACCGCAAACCGACACAGGUAGUCAAGAUGAGAAUUCUAAGGUGAGCGAGCGAACUCUCGUUAAGGAACUCGGCAAAAUGACCCCGUAACUUCGGGAGAAGGGGUGCUCUUUAGGGUUAACGCCCAGAAGAGCCGCAGUGAAUAGGCCCAAGCGACUGUUUAUCAAAAACACAGGUCUCUGCUAAACCGUAAGGUGAUGUAUAGGGGCUGACGCCUGCCCGGUGCUGGAAGGUUAAGAGGAGUGGUUAGCUUCUGCGAAGCUACGAAUCGAAGCCCCAGUAAACGGCGGCCGUAACUAUAACGGUCCUAAGGUAGCGAAAUUCCUUGUCGGGUAAGUUCCGACCCGCACGAAAGGCGUAACGAUUUGGGCACUGUCUCAACGAGAGACUCGGUGAAAUCAUAGUACCUGUGAAGAUGCAGGUUACCCGCGACAGGACGGAAAGACCCCGUGGAGCUUUACUGUAGCCUGAUAUUGAAAUUCGGCACAGCUUGUACAGGAUAGGUAGGAGCCUUUGAAACGUGAGCGCUAGCUUACGUGGAGGCGCUGGUGGGAUACUACCCUAGCUGUGUUGGCUUUCUAACCCGCACCACUUAUCGUGGUGGGAGACAGUGUCAGGCGGGCAGUUUGACUGGGGCGGUCGCCUCCUAAAAGGUAACGGAGGCGCUCAAAGGUUCCCUCAGAAUGGUUGGAAAUCAUUCAUAGAGUGUAAAGGCAUAAGGGAGCUUGACUGCGAGACCUACAAGUCGAGCAGGGUCGAAAGACGGACUUAGUGAUCCGGUGGUUCCGCAUGGAAGGGCCAUCGCUCAACGGAUAAAAGCUACCCCGGGGAUAACAGGCUUAUCUCCCCCAAGAGUUCACAUCGACGGGGAGGUUUGGCACCUCGAUGUCGGCUCAUCGCAUCCUGGGGCUGUAGUCGGUCCCAAGGGUUGGGCUGUUCGCCCAUUAAAGCGGUACGCGAGCUGGGUUCAGAACGUCGUGAGACAGUUCGGUCCCUAUCCGUCGUGGGCGUAGGAAAUUUGAGAGGAGCUGUCCUUAGUACGAGAGGACCGGGAUGGACAUACCUCUGGUGUACCAGUUGUCGUGCCAACGGCAUAGCUGGGUAGCUAUGUGUGGACGGGAUA